AUGCUUUUUGUGUUUUCCUUUUGAGCCGGGUGUUUCAAGUGAACUCAUUCCUUCUGGGUUAAAUGCAGCCAGCGAGUUUGACGGUGGAUUUUGAUGGUGAAUGUGACGAAGGAGAGAAAGAUGACAACUGUAAUAAAUCCAUCAGUAACCAGAA
This is a non-coding RNA of Pimephales promelas (fathead minnow), 154 nucleotides long. Lineage: Eukaryota; Metazoa; Chordata; Actinopteri; Cypriniformes; Leuciscidae. The record is from RefSeq and is a predicted model, not a curated record.